AUACCAUUUAUAACAUUCAUUUACCGUUAAGUAUCUAAUCAAAACGUUACUUGGAGAUCGUGGAGAUAGGGAAUUGAUCGUUAUCUUGAUGAAACGACUACGAUACGAACGACUUUUUACGGCGACCGUUUCGAGGAGAUUAAUCAAUACGAAUUUCGUUUCCACAUGUUGAACCGCGAAGUGGACGACACGUGACUGAAAAAGGAAGCAAUUCGUAAAUUGAACUCGCGCGCAGAAUGGCUCUCGAUGGCGCCUCGUCGGAGAUGUUCAAGAGGCCUCGAAUCGUUUGAGGAUGAUGUGUUGUUCAGAUAUCGUUACAAUGACAAAAGUGCAAGAAAAAGAAGCUUUUUAUAGGAAAAGUGAAUUCGAAUGAAGUUUUAAAGUUUUUUUUUGUAUAGGAAGAUUUGUAUACAUUAUUGAUAUAAAAAAAAUUAAGUUCUUUGAUUUGAGGCGGUAACAUCCAUUCUCAACGAUUUUCGAUAUUCUUGGUGGCACGACAAGGAAAUUUAGCGGAAAGUUUCUUAAUUACCUUGUUUCACUUAUUUCAAUGUUUGCAGUAUCGCUCGAGAAGGCCAUUAACAGGUGUAAUAAAAUGGAAUGGCACGAUCUUCCCUUACAGGCAUGCGAAAGAAAUAUGGAAACGAAUUGACCGUGAUCCGCUUGGUGAAAACUCGAUGCACACGAGAGAAAUACACGAUAAUUGUUGCGUGAGAAUCGCCUGCUACGUUUCGUACAAUUACCGGCAACUUCGUUUCCGCCUCGCUGGAGGAUUCUCGUUUCUAUCACCGUUUAUCGAAUCUACCCUUUCUACGAGUGAAUCCAAAGAAAUUGUUGAAAAUAAAUUUUAGUAAUUGUUACUAAAUGAUUGGGUUAAUUCUAAUUUUGAUAACGUCGUUCACUUAUCUUCUUUAGAGGUUUAAUUUUUUGUU
Molecule: long non-coding RNA, 929 nt
Organism: Apis florea (little honeybee)
Lineage: Eukaryota; Metazoa; Arthropoda; Insecta; Hymenoptera; Apidae
Source: RefSeq, a predicted model, not a curated record